Molecule: long non-coding RNA, 547 nt
Organism: Theobroma umbraticum
Lineage: Eukaryota; Viridiplantae; Streptophyta; Magnoliopsida; Malvales; Malvaceae
Source: RefSeq, a predicted model, not a curated record
ACGCUUGACCGUCCAUAUUUAACCCUAGUUCUACCCCAAGCUUCAACCCUGGUUAAGUUAAGCCUUCCAGGCUUUUAGCAACCCUAGGGAAUCUCCAUUAGCAUAUAGAGUUUGAGAAGCACACCCUGCUCGUGGCUGCAAGUUGCCACUACCAGAGCAGCAGGACCAGACUCAAAUACUAUUACUGUUUAUAUAAUGAUGAGAAUCAUUUUGGGUAUGAGAAGCUCGCCCAAUAUUUUAAUUCGAGCGAUGUUUGCACCUCAUACUUCCAUGACUCUGAUGCGGUUAUGUCAUGCCUCUCUUUGUACCGACAGCUGUUUCCGAGUUCCGACUAUGAACUGAUUUUGGUCGUUUUCAGCAAGUAAUCGGUCGAUUAGCCGAAGGGAAGGAUUUGGGCCAAAGCCCACCGGACCCAGUAUCAGAUAGGGCACCUGGAGCUUGGAGGAUCGAUUUUUGACCCAUGAGGUUGUUCAGAGUCGGACCAUAACGAUGUAGCAGUACAUAGUAACAACUUGCUAUGCUCCGCGCCACCAAUAUUAGCGGGGUG